This is a non-coding RNA of Chrysemys picta bellii (western painted turtle), 1141 nucleotides long. The record is from RefSeq and is a predicted model, not a curated record. Lineage: Eukaryota; Metazoa; Chordata; Testudines; Emydidae.
GCCGCAGUCGGAUUCCCCCCGCCCGGCAGCGGCUGCUCUGAGCCUCGGCUCUGUGCAGCUGAAGAGCCGAGCGUCCUUUGCCCGAGCGCUACCUUCCCGGUUUGCCGUGCAGCCCGGAGUGUCACCACAGAUAUCGAUCAUGGCUUAAUUAUACCAAAGGAUGACAUGAAGUUGUCACACGGGAUGCUGACUGCUUGAUGACUAAUGCAUGCUUUACCAUUGCAUUAACUGAGGACCACAUAAAAUUGCUUCACUAAUUCAGAGCAGAGCACUAUGAGAAUCUUAUGCCGGGGAGUAGAAAGAAGAAGGGGAAAGGAUGAAUAUGUGCAUCGAAAGAAAUGGCACUAAUGAACCACUGUGAAAAGAAAUACCCCAGUUUUGCAAAGAAAAAAGCAUCAGCUUUUAAGACAAAGUCGUAUGUCUGUAGACUAAUUUGAAUAGUUCUAAACUUUAAACCUAUGUAUCAGGUUACUGGACAGCCUCAUAAUUUAAGGCAAAGAAAUUAGAUAGUGAUGCACAAAAACUGUUACAUUACCCUUCUUGUGGAUAUCUGCACUGCACACACCACUGCCUAAACUCUAAAAGUCUUGUCCUAGUGUAACACCGACGGACCUCAGUUGUCAGGAUCAAACCGGGGACCUCUGGAGCAUAGUACAUGAGCCUCUACUGCAUGAGCGAAAAGCCAACUGGCUGUUAAGCAGACUCUUUCUCUCUGAGUGGUCUUGGUGCCACUAGAUGGUAUAGAACACAACUCCUGACAGGUGUGUGGGUUACACCAGCUCAGUGUAAAACUGGAUGGAUUCUAUGAAAACAGACUUUCCUCUGGUUUUUCUUAAGUCCCAGACUUAAAAAAACCUCCAUGAAGACAUCCAUAUGGGAUUCCUCCCCAGUCAUUCUAUCAGAGGUACAGAAUUUUCCUGCUCAUGAAACAGUCUGUAGCACUCUCCCUCAAGCCUGGUGGAUCCUGGGGAAGCCAGUACCAGGCAUGUGGUAGCUUCGUAGAAAUGAUAAUACAGCUGUAUUGUAUUUUCUGAGUAAUGGCUGUAUGGUUAGAAGGGGGAGAACGUCUAUGAUGAGCUGCAUGCUAUUCUAGGGGGUCCCCUACAACUACCCCACCCCUGUGCUUCCCUCCUUCCCCACC